GCCACACAUGGGGCUGGACACUAAGCCUCGCAUUAUCUCCUCAGGCCACACGUUGGCUAGGAGUGUUGGGCACACAGCAGGAAUGGCUCACAGGAAGCUGGAGGAGUUUCUGUCUUUCUAAGGGUCAGAGGUGGCUGAGAUUUGGCAGUCAGGGAAAUGGGAAUUUCCUGUGUCCCUCCCCGGAGCUGAGACUGGCAGCAGGAACCCAGACGGAACUGCCAUAGAGAAGCAUUAGGUUGACUGGAAAACUUCCCUGGAGGAGCUACAAAAUACAGUUUGGAUCAACAGCCCUAUAGGAAUGGGAAAUUCAGAUGCAGACAGGUGCUGAAGACCAUGUGAAGGCACAGGGAGGAGGUGGCCAUCUGCAAGCCAAGGAGAGAAGCCUCAGAAGAAACCAACCCUGCCAACACCGUGACCUCAGACUCCAGCCCCCAGAACUAUUCCAUAGAAUGUUCCCUGUUUCUUCAUCUAUGACAUGGGGAUAAUGUGAGUAUACCUACAUCAGAGGGCUGCGAUGAAGACUAAAUAAGAAAUAUUAAUUGAGCAUCUAUUAUAUGUAGCCACUGUGAUGGGCACUGUGAUGCAACUGAACAGAUGGACAAAGGCCCUUCCUUCUUAGAGCUUUAAGUCUGCAUGGUAGAGGGAAAAUGAUCUGGUACCAAUGAAUUAAGAAGAUAAUUCCAGAUGGUGACAAAUAUCCCCCAGAGGUUACUGACAGACCAAAAUAUCCUGACAACCCCGGAAUGCCAGAAGGAGAGAAGGGGUUUGUAAAUCUGAGGACCUUGACUACUUUUGUAAGAAGGAAUUACUUGCUAAGUACUGUCUCAGAAAGAAACUCUCUUGGAGGUUACCUGGGGACAAGUGGAGGAAGCAAGCCAUAGCCUUUUUGGAAUUGUGAUAAUAUUCCAAGGCAAAUGUUCCCAGGGGCUGGGAUUUUACCUUCUGUCUGUCCUACAAUCAGGGUGUAAGAUGGAGGAAUGCACUUCCCAUCUCUGAGCCACGGUUUCUCAUCCAUAGAAUGGGGAGUUUGGAUUUCUAAGAUCCCCCAUCUCACGCUUUGAAUGCGAUCAGGCUGGGAAUUCAAAAGCAUCUGCUCACUGGGAAAGGGAGGCAGUCAGGGUGGGACAGGGCUUGUAUUGAAUAACGAGAAAGGAGCAUGGUGACUAUGACUUGAGUCAGUCCGGAAAUAAAAUAUAAGGGGGUCUGAUCUGAGGCAGAAGAGGACAGCAGAAAUUCUCCUAGGAGUGGCAGUCAAGCCAGGUCAGGCUCGGGUCAGGCUGCCUGGUUCAGAGAAUGGCAUCAAUGUGUGCAGAGAGGUUCUUAAGGCCAGACAGGUGUCAGGGCCCAAGCCAAGUGGACUGGAGGUCAGAAUAGGGCUUCAGUUCUAAAAAAGGUGCCUGGCUGAGUGCAAAGCAGGCCUGAGUCAUCCAGACCUCACAAUCAUGGCUGGAGUGGCCACAGACAGACCCACAAUGGGUGCAGGGGAUCCCAAGUUUAUGACACCAAGAGUCAUUCCAGGCUUACCUAUGUUUUCAGGGCAAAUACAGGACUGAGUCUAGGCUGGAGGGUUAGAGAAGCUGAAACAGACACCUUUAGAACUGAAGUGUGAUGUUUUCAUUAAUCUGAAUACAAACCAUAGCCAAUAUAUAUGGUGUGCUUUCUCUGUGUCACUCUAUUCUAAGUAUUUCACAUGUGUGAACUCCCUGGCAGGCUAGUAGUAUUAGAGCUUUUGCUUAUUAAUCUCUAUGGUAACAGGUCAUUAAAAAAAAUAAUUAAUUACUGUGUUACCAAGAUCAAAAUAUAGUAAUAUUCGCCUCUUCAGCUGUGACCACCACCAUAGAAAAGUCCAGGCAAAAAUACAGAGAUCAGAAGGGGCAAGUGGAACCCUAUGCAGGCUAAAGACUCUUAGGAAAUAUGGGCCCUUGAAAUGUCCCCAUCUAUGUGGGUUUCAUUGUCAGUCCUUCUUUCUUUGGCAGGGUCAAGGGCAUUUGACCUGUUGAUACACCUAUUGCUUUUCCAGCAAGCCCUACAUCUUUCUAGUAAGGAGUCAAUGCACCAAAGCUGGAGGCCACUGGAGGUGACUCCAGUCACCAUUUUUCAACUUCUCCUAGAAAUGUCUCUUUGGUUUCUUCAGGCUUUGACUUGGGUGACUAUGGAGAACGUGACAUGGGAAGUUAAAAAGCAACAAGAAGUCUUUUAAAAAGUUUGAAUUACAUUGAACAUAUGUCUGAAAUGUAAGAAGGGGUAAGCCCUCUUUCUUACCAUCCUUCCUGACCAUGACCCCUGGGAGUCAGAUAUCCCAGGCACAGCUUAGCUUUCUAACCCUGCUGUGUUGCCCUCCAUGAUCUCUCCGAAUUUCUCUCCCUUUCCUCCCUUUACACUAAAAAUGCUCUAGUUCUGGCCUUCCUCAUCUCGUUAAUAAUUAAGCUGGCUGACUUAACUCCCUGCCUUCUGGUUGCCCUCUUCAAUCUGUCCUUGUCUCUGUCAGCAGCAGCAUCGUCCUGCUCAAAACCACAAAGACCUCCUACUGUGGAAAGACAGGUAUUCAGAAUCCACAUCGCACGUCUAGAUCCCCUGUGAUGUGCCCUGAAACAACCUCCACUGUCUUAGCUUUUACUAACAUCUUCCAUAAUUUCCAGGCCCAGCAGGCCUGAUCUUGUGCUCAACUUCCCCAACUUAGUCUCCUCCUUCUGUCAGAAAUAGCCUUUCUCUAUCUCCACCUGAGAUUAAUGUAUCCUGGAGAGUCUAUCUCUCUUUUCAGUGUCCAUAUCAAGGGCCGGCUCCUCCAGAAAGCCUUUCUAUACCUUCAACCUCCAACCUCAUAUCUCAUCAUUAGAAAAGAUCACGUUCUCAUUAGAAGCCCAAACCUCAGUAUCACAUAAUAUGCCCAUCUAACAAACCUGCACAUGUACACCCUGAACCUAAAAAAAAAUAAAAUAAAACAAAAAAAGAAAAGAAAAUAUACACUGAUGAGAAAAAAAAGGAUCAAAUCCAACUUUAAGUUCCUGAGUCUAACUUUCUAACUUUAUUUUAGUGCCUCCCAGAAUUAUCUGUGUUUGUGUCCACAUUAACCAUUGGCUGGGAUCAUCAUAAGUGAAUCACCAUGUUCCCCAAACCAAAAACUGCCCUGGCACACAGGAAGCUUACGUUAGUGUCUUAGUAUGGCAUAUAUGUAUACACACACUGUACACAUGAACACAUAUCUAUGUGAUGUUUCCAAACAUAGAUAUGUGUUCAUAUCCAAAGACAGUUGUCUUUGAAAGUAAACACAAUAAACUCGGAUAAACUUCUGGAACAUGGGGAUAGGAGGGUGGGAUGAAAGAAAGCAUUUAGUAAAUUUACAUUUCUUUAUGUAUUUCUUGACUCUUAAAAUCAAUAUAUCAUAAUUUAAUAACAUAAUUUAUUAAAAUGAAAAAUAAAAUAAUUCAUGUUAAUUGUAGAAUACAUACAUCUGUAAAGAAGAAUGACAAACAGGAAUAAUUUCCAGAGACUCACAAUCUACAUACAUUCUAUUUAUGUGAUUAGAUCCAUGUUAUUCUUAUGUUUCCUUUUUGCCAGUUAGCAUUGUAUGGAGAGUACUUCUCCAUUUUCUAUCAUUGGGUGUAUGAAUUGUUAACCACUUUGGAAUACUGCAAAUAAUCAUAUAAUGAAUAUACAUAUACUUAAAUCUUUGUGUGCAUUUGUUAUUAUUUACUAGGUUAGAUUCUUAGAAAUAGAACCACUGACUUGAAGGGAAUAUUAUCAUUUAAGGUUUUAAUCCAUGUUGCCAAAAUGUUUGUAAGAAAGUAUCCAUCUCACAAUACCCACAUCAGAACCAGGUAUUACAAUUUUUAAAACCUCCCAAACAUUUUCUUUUUCUUUCUUUUUUUUCUUUUCUUUUUUUUUUGAGACAGAGUCUCACUCCGUUUCUCAGGCUGGAGUACAGUGGCAGUGACUGCAACCUACGCACCCCCCAGGUUCAAGCGAUUCUCCUGCCUCAACCUCACGAGUAGCUGGGAUUACAGGCACCUGCCACCAUGACCCGCUAAUUUUUUUGUGUUUUAACUAGAGACAGAGUUUCACCAUGUUGGCCGGGGUGGUCUUCAACUCCUGAUGUCAAGUGAUGCGCCCACUUCUGCCUCCCAAAAUGCUGGGAUUACAGGCUUGAGCCACAGCGCCCAGCCCUAACAUUUUUUUUUUUAUGGAUUCUCCCUUUGCUUUUAUAAUGAGGGCACCUCUACCCUGAGAUGAAUCAGAUGCAUUAUUGUUUUUUGUCAAUUCUUUUACUACUUCUUCUUUAAUAUUUGAAUUUUUGAUCAAUUUAAAUCAAAUUAGGUAAAUUUUAUGAGGUAAGGGAGGAGACAUUUGCCUUGUUAUAAUUCCUGUAUAUUUAACCAAUCAUCCAUGUCAUAUUUAUUUAAUAAUCCUUCCCCACACUUUAAAUAAUUUGUAGUCUUAUUUUUGUUCUGUGUUUGAAUUACCAUAGCUGUAUAGUAUGAUUUGACAUCUGAUAGGGUAGAUUUCACCUUUUUAAUUAUUUAUUUUAUAUUCUGGGGUCAUUCUCAGCAUUUAUUUUGUCUAAAUGAAACGUAAACAGGCUGUCAAGUUUUCAACACAGAUCCAAGUGGAAUUAAACAUUUUUUUUCUUACGAAUAUUUGGGGACUUCAUUCCUUUCUUCCUUUUUUUUCUCUUCCUCCUCCCCUCCCUCCUUCUCCUCCUUCUUAUUCUAUUCUUCUCUCUCUUUUUCAUUCUCUUCUCCUUCCUUCCCUUCCUUUCCUUCUCAACUUCAUCUUCUUCGUUUCUCCAUCAUUAUCAUUUUCUGUUUAUUGAUUACACUUAAAUAAUAACUAUUUCAUAGAGAAAAUUAAAACUAGACAUAGUGAUCAAAUGUUGACAUGUUGUUUUUUGUGUCAAAUAUUCAAAUAUUUUUAAAUUGACAUCUAAAAGUUUAUAGAAACAGGCACAUUCCUCCACCAGAAUUUCCCUCUACUCUCAAAAGUAACCACCAUUAUAAAAUGCUGCACUGUCAGCAAACCACCAUGGCACAUGUAUACCUAUGUAACAAACCUGCACGUUCUGCACAUGUAUCCCAAAACUUAAAGUAUAACAAUAAUAAUAAUGCUGCACUGUCUUUUUUGUGUUGUUUUGUGCAUUUUUAACCUCUAAUUUCACAGCAUACUUAUUUGUCCAUAACUAUAUAUAUAGUGUUUUGCAUAUUUAAAACUUUUGUACAAAAUGUGUCAGAGUGAACAUGUUCUUUUGCAAUUUCAUUUAUUUUGGUCAACAAUAUGUGACUUUUCUUCAUGAACAUCCUGCAUAUUCCUUGUUUCAUUUAUCCUUGGUUAUUUAGAACAUUUCUUCUAUUUUAAUGCUAACUUCAAUUGACUCAAAUUUUGUUGACGGCUUGUGAGAUCAACCAAAAGCUAAAUGAAAUCAGUCUUCUGUGUGUGUGUUUGUUUUUAAUGCUUUCUAGAUUAGUCUGACAUGCACACCCAAUCGGAAAACACUAGCGCAGAAGAGGGAGAGCCUAAUAUCAGCAUUACCUAGGUAUUAGAAGAAUUUGGAUAUUAUUAUAUACACCUGGCAUGAUAGCUAGGACAGAACCUGUUCUGCCGGGAGAAGGCGCCUGCUCAGGGUUUCUCUUUCCCUACAUGGGAACCCCUGAAGGAGAGUCCUGCCUGUGAUCUUCAUUUAGAAGGCUAGUGCUGACCACUGCUUGGUUCUCAUCAAUCCAUCCUUGAGAUAUCCCCAAUCUCAUCUUAAAUCUGAAUUGAACCUGUCAUAUUAUAGCCUGGCUCUUCUCUCACCAACUAUUUGGGGAACCCAGCCAACAUACUGUGAUGAAGCCUAAACAACUGUGGAGAGGCUCACGUGGAGAGGAGUCAAUGCCCACUGAUCUAUAAGCCUUGGCUGAGCUCUGAGCCAACAGUCAUGAUCAACUUCCAGCCGUAUAAGUGAACCAUCUUGAAAGAGGCUUCACCAGCACCAAGUUGAGCAACUUGAUUAUGUUACCAAAGAUCACCUCCUUCCUAUCAUCUUCCGUCUGAGACUUGCUUAGAGUGAGUUUGGAAGCUGUGUUUUGCUCAUCCUGAAGACUGAACAUAAGAAAAUAUUGCUCAAGUUCUGGAUGAUGCAGCUGCUGAAAUAAUCUGUGGUGCACUUUCCUUCAGGAAUCCUUACCUAUUUUUUCAGGUGUUCCACAAGCCUUCUUAUCUUGGAAUUCAGUAAUACUUAUUGUGUGGUUGCUUACUGUUCCCUAGGCACCCUGAAGCAUUGAAGCUUUGAAGCUUUGUCUCAUGCUUUCAAGUAAUGUUCUCGUGUUUACCUGCUGAUAUUCCUUCAAAGUUAGAGGCUGCCUCUCUCCAAGUGUGGAAAAAAACAAUCAGAUGUCACUAAGAUAUUGUGUAACAAUUCAUAUUAAACACAUGAUCUUGUCAGUCAAGAAGAAGAGAUUAAAACAAACACCUUGAGAGUUCAUGAGUAGAAGUAUACAGCCCUGCAUUCAUGAUAAUAUGGUGCAUUUUACCUACCUUGCAGCAGAAAGAGAUAUCUAAUUCCAUACACAGCAAUGUAACUGUUUAAAGUGCUCCUAAAAUUCAGACAAAACAAAUUAUAAAUAGUAUCAAGAUCAAAGAAGCUGAAAGUCCCUAUGUUUGAUGUAGGCACAGCAAAGUUUGAUGUAUAUGCUCAUUUCUCAGCACUGCAAGUAUGGAGAAACCAUCAGAAAGCAUGCUGAAAAUAGAGAGGGCUUCUAAAACAGAAAGCUCCUGCCUGUUUUACUGAAGGCUACCAGAUUCUUUCUCAGAAAUUUUGUACAGUUCAGAGGCACAAAUGCUCUUUUAGGUCCUUUGAAGCACUGGGUUUAAUAUCGGAAUUUAAUCUUGGCUCUAGUCUCCAAUUCCUUACAUAGUCAUUCAAGCAAUCUUGGGGACCAAGUCUUCCAAUAGCAUAGUGAUAUUCAUGCCUGAAGUGGGAGGAAUAGAUAUCCUCCUCAUUAACAAGGGAUGAGAGAUCAUGUUUCAUAGGCAAAAUACUCAUGCAUGCAAAAAUGUAACUUUUCCAGUAAUUUUUUUAGUACUGAAAUUAGCUUAGCUCAUUAGCUCUCUCUUCUACCUAGUAGCAGGGAAUGCAGUUUUGCUAACCCAGGUGACUCAUUAUUUCUGUUUUCAAGUUUAGUUUAUUUUAGGUAAAUUUUUGAAUUCAUAAUGUUUUUCUGACCUUUCUUCUCUUCCAGAAGAGGUUAUUCUAACUUCUUAAUGGAUUUACUUUUGUAGUUGUUACUGUUAUAUAUAUAUAAUAG
Molecule: long non-coding RNA, 7280 nt
Filed under: Homo sapiens (human)
Lineage: Eukaryota; Metazoa; Chordata; Mammalia; Primates; Hominidae
Description: HSALNT0267230
Source: RNAcentral